CGGGCUGUAGCGCAGUUUGGUAGCGCACUUGACUGGGGGUCAAGGGGUCGCAAGUUCGAAUCUUGUCGCUCCGACCA
RNAcentral lists this transfer RNA (77 nucleotides) under Caulobacter sp. RNAcentral's name for it is "tRNA-Pro". It matches the Rfam family "tRNA". From Rfam's summary of the family: Transfer RNA (tRNA) molecules are approximately 80 nucleotides in length. Their secondary structure includes four short double-helical elements and three loops (D, anti-codon, and T loops). Lineage: Bacteria; Pseudomonadati; Pseudomonadota; Alphaproteobacteria; Caulobacterales; Caulobacteraceae. The record is from RNAcentral.